CUGAGCCGGCGGCUCGCAGGUGGCAGAAGGCCAGCUCGGAGAGUCACACCAGCGACUCCGGCCUUAAAUGGACCUCGAUUCCAUACAACAAGGAGCACCACUUCCGGUUUCCUCCUGUACAUUUCCGUCAGCACUGAAGGCUCUUCCUGUCUCCAAGCCCAUUGGCAGGUUUUCCUUUGGGGGAACUUCUUUCUCAGCUCAGAGUUCUUCUCUGCACAGUCUUUCCAGGUACCGUCCCUCCCUCCACACUCGCUGUUGUCGUCACAGUAUGCGGCGCGCGAGUUCGAUCCCAAGUUCUUUCCAUAAUUUUAACUUGUCUCUUUCGGCCAUCAUUCUCCAAGGCCCAGAAGGGCCUGUGUCUGACCCUUAGAGCAACCUCAGGACUGAGCAAAAUGCCGGGAACAGAGACUCUCCAGGGCCUCAGAGCUCAUCAGAAGAGAGAUGAUGGGAAGUGGUUAGGCCUGUAGAUGAAGGAAGCUGAGAAGACCUGGCUUACUGUUUCUUCACUAGCUAUUGUGAAUAAUGCGGCUAUGAACACUGAUGUGUAAGUUUUCGUGUGGAGGCUCGCGUGUUACUCCAGAAGCAGACUCACGUCUGCUGUACAAUUACAUCAAGCGGCCACACUGAGUGCCUGACCCACACCACCUGGGUCUGUCAUCAUCAGUCAAGUGUGUAAUUCAACAGCACUCACGGCUCCUGUCCUGCCCUGCAGUCGUCCCCAUCGCUCAUCUCCAGAACUCUUCAUUUGGUGCCACUCUGAAUCCAUUCAACAGUAGCUCCCCUUUGCAGCCCCCACCAUCCAUCACUCUGCUCUUCGUCCUGAUGGCUUUAUCUGCUCUACGGACCUCACUGGAGCCGAAUUGCACACUGUUUGCCCUUCUGGGACUGGCUCAUUUCACUUAGCAUAAUGUCCUCAUGGUCACUGAUACUGCAGCACGUGUCAGCACUCCUGUCCCGCAAAAGGUUGGUGGAAAAUGGAAUUACCAAAUAAAGGGCUCCUGGCGCAAAAAUAUUUUGAAGUCCAUGCAUAUGAGGGGUCUUGAGGAAGUUCAAGGAAAUGUAUAUUAUGAAAAACUGCAUGGAUUUCCACCUUUCUGCACAAAAAGUAACAUAUCUUUUAAUUCAAUUUUUCCAAAAUCUUUUUGAAGUACCCUGUUAUA
This is a non-coding RNA of Oryctolagus cuniculus (rabbit), 1160 nucleotides long. Lineage: Eukaryota; Metazoa; Chordata; Mammalia; Lagomorpha; Leporidae. The record is from RefSeq and is a predicted model, not a curated record.